This 235-nucleotide ribosomal RNA is filed under the name uncultured Paucimonas sp. RNAcentral describes it as "partial 16S ribosomal RNA". It matches the Rfam family "Bacterial small subunit ribosomal RNA", at positions 1150 to 1382 of the family's 1533-position model. Lineage: Bacteria; Pseudomonadati; Pseudomonadota; Betaproteobacteria; Burkholderiales; Burkholderiaceae. The record is from RNAcentral.
UGCCGGUUGACAAAACCGGAGGAAGGUGGGGAUGACGUCAAGUCCUCAUGGCCCUUAUGGGUAGGGCUUCACACGUCAUACAAUGGUACAUACAGAGGGCUGCCAACCCGCGAGGGGGAGCUAAUCCCAGAAAGUGUAUCGUAGUCCGGAUUGAAGUCUGCAACUCGACUUCAUGAAGUUGGAAUCGCUAGUAAUCGCGGAUCAGCAUGUCGCGGUGAAUACGUUCCCGGGUCUU